GACGAACGCUGGCGGCGUGCUUAACACAUGCAAGUCGAACGAUGACGCCCGAGCUUGCUCGGUCUGAUUAGUGGCGAACGGGUGAGUAACACGUGAGCAACCUGCCCUUCACUCUGGGAUAACCUCUGGAAAUCGGGGCUCAUACCGGAUAUGAGCUCCUGUCGCAUGGCGGGUGUUGGAAAGUUUUUCGGUUAAGGAUGGGCUCGCGGCCUAUCAGUUUGUUGGUGAGGUAGUGGCUCACCAAGGCGAUGACGGGUAGCCGGCCUGAGAGGGCGACCGGCCACACUGGGACUGAGACACGGACCAGAAUCCUACGGGAGGCAGCAGGGGGGAAUAUUGCACAAUGGGCGAAAGCCUGAUGCAGCGACGCCGCGUGAGGGAUGACGGCCUUCGGGUUGUAAACCUCUUUCAGCAGGGAAGAAGCGAAAGUGACGGUACCUGCAGAAGAAGCGCCGGCUAACUACGUG
Molecule: ribosomal RNA, 467 nt
Filed under: uncultured bacterium
Lineage: Bacteria
Description: partial 16S ribosomal RNA
Rfam family: Bacterial small subunit ribosomal RNA
Source: RNAcentral